RNAcentral lists this ribosomal RNA (258 nucleotides) under uncultured bacterium. Its description in RNAcentral is "partial 16S ribosomal RNA". It matches the Rfam family "Bacterial small subunit ribosomal RNA", at positions 15 to 269 of the family's 1533-position model. The record is from RNAcentral.
GAUCCCGGCUCAGGAUGAACGCUAGCUACAGGCUUAACACAUGCAAGUCGAGGGGCAUCAGGGUGUAGCAAUACGCCGCUGGCGACCGGCGCACGGGUGAGUAACACGUAUCCAACCUGCCCUUUACUCGGGGAUAGCCUUUCGAAAGAAAGAUUAAUACCCGAUGGUAUAACAUGACCUCCUGGUUUUGUUAUUAAAGAAUUUCGGUAGAGGAUGGGGAUGCGUUCCAUUAGGCAGUUGGCGGGGUAACGGCCCACC